UACGUAGGGUGCGAGCGUUGUCCGGAAUUAUUGGGCGUAAAGAGCUCGUAGGCGGUCUGUCGCGUCGAUCGUGAAAACUUGGGGCUUAACCCUGAGCUUGCGGCCGAUACGGGCAUGACUGGAGUUCGGCAGGGGAGACUGGAAUUCCUGGUGUAGCGGUGAAAUGCGCAGAUAUCAGGAGGAACACCGGUGGCGAAGGCGGGUCUCUGGGCCGAUACUGACGCUGAGGAGCGAAAGCGUGGGGAGCGAACAGG
This 254-nucleotide ribosomal RNA is filed under the name uncultured bacterium. RNAcentral describes it as "partial 16S ribosomal RNA". It matches the Rfam family "Bacterial small subunit ribosomal RNA", at positions 524 to 776 of the family's 1533-position model. The record is from RNAcentral.